This 468-nucleotide ribosomal RNA is filed under the name uncultured bacterium. RNAcentral's name for it is "partial 16S ribosomal RNA". It matches the Rfam family "Bacterial small subunit ribosomal RNA", at positions 28 to 507 of the family's 1533-position model. The record is from RNAcentral.
GACGAACGCUGGCGGCGUGCUUAACACAUGCAAGUCGAACGGAAAGGCCCUGCUUUUGUGGGGUGCUCGAGUGGCGAACGGGUGAGUAACACGUGAGUAACCUGCCCUUGACUUUGGGAUAACUUCAGGAAACUGGGGCUAAUACCGGAUAGGAGCUCCUGCUGCAUGGUGGGGGUUGGAACGUUUCGGCGGUUGGGGAUGGACUCGCGGCUUAUCAGCUUGUUGGUGGGGUAGUGGCUUACCAAGGCUUCGACGGGUAGCCGGCCUGAGAGGGUGACCGGCCACAUUGGGACUGAGAGACGGCCCAGACUCCUAUGGGAGGCAGCAGGGGGGAAUAUUGCACAAUGGGCGGAAGCCUGAUGCAGCAACGCCGCGUGCGGGAUGACGGCCUUCGGGUUGUAAACCGCUUUCGCCUGUGACGAAGCGUGAGUGACGGUAAUGGGUAAAGAAGCACCGGCUAACUACGUG